Molecule: ribosomal RNA, 250 nt
Filed under: uncultured bacterium
Lineage: Bacteria
Description: partial 16S ribosomal RNA
Rfam family: Bacterial small subunit ribosomal RNA
Source: RNAcentral
UACGUAGGGUGCAAGCGUUACUCGGAUUUAUUGGGCGUAAAGCGCAUGUAGGCGGUUUUGUAAGUCUGAUGUGAAAUCCCUGGACUCAAUUCAGGAACUGCAUUGGAUACUGCAAGACUAGAGUACGGGAGAGGUAGGUGGAAUUCCUGGUGUAGAGGUGAAAUUCGUAGAUAUCAGGAGGAACAACAGAGGCGAAGGCGACUUACUGGACCGUAACUGACGCUGAGAUGCGACAGUGUGGGGAGCAAAC